AGUUAACGAGAUGCCAACCAAAUGAACGUGAUGAGGGACAACGUUUAUGAUUGUGCAAUGAGAGGCUUUUCAGAGAGCCUGCUUUAAUCCAGAGGUAAAAAUAGACAUGGUUUUUAGGGAUGCUGACGGAAAAGGGGCAGCUGAUGAGGGUGGUCCCUCAAGAGAUUUCCCCGGCUGCUAAUGAGUGCCAUCCAGUCCUCUGCAAUAUUUGAGGGACCUGAUUGGCAAAAAUGCCUUUCUUGCAACUCUCGCGCGCUCUAUGAUGGCGUAUACAAGCAGGUGGGCCACAUGACUGCUGUCUGUCUGGUACAUGGGGGUGUAGAGCCACUUUUUGUUAGAGAGGCAAGUGUGUGGUCUCUACAGGCAAGUGUGUGGCCUACAUCCUCCUGUGCCAGAACUGAAAGAAAUAGUAGAAUAUGACUUCAGAGGGAAGUUGGAGAAGUUCAAUAAACAAUCUAAGAUCCAGUUAGCACAAGCUGUUGACGAGGCACAGGAAGCGGUCAUGUUGGGUCCAGUGCGAUACAUUCGUACAUUGGAGAGGGAUGCCCUGGUGGAGUCAGCCACUAAGUUCUACUUAGAAAGCAGGAUACGGGAUGCUCUUGAGCAAUUCAAAGAGGGUCUGGAGUGUCUAGGUCUCCUGCCUUACAUGAAUAGACACUCAAGCCUCUUCAGAGAGGUUUUCAUCUACGCUGAGAAACCUCUUUUGGCCAGACAUAGCUUCUCUUCAAAGCAGAGCUCUCCCCACCUGGUACCAAUCAAAGAGCAAUAGAGAGAAGAGUCAUGUUUCUGGAGGGACUGGCUGCUGG
This is a long non-coding RNA of Oncorhynchus tshawytscha (Chinook salmon), 806 nucleotides long. RefSeq lists it as uncharacterized. Lineage: Eukaryota; Metazoa; Chordata; Actinopteri; Salmoniformes; Salmonidae. The transcript has 4 exons. The record is from RefSeq and is a predicted model, not a curated record.